UCUUAAAGUCUACUUCUAUCUUCUACCUGGAGUUCUUUCUCUUUGAAAUGCAUGGAAAUGUGCAAGAACUGUUAGCUGAUUAGAUGUCAACAUAACCUAUAAACCUUUGGAUCUUGAGGAUUCAGAUACAAGCAGAAGGAAGGGAUUGAGGUUCGGGAACCACCUUCUGCAUAGACUGAAGAUCUAAGGCUUGCUUCUGCAGGAACCUAUGCUAGGCAUGUUUAUGUCUUGCCAGCAUACUUCACACUUGAUCAGCUGAAAAAAAGGAGUAGAACAGUGCGCCUCUGCUACUCGUGCAUGUUGGAGUACUGAGCAUGAUCUUGCAGGUGCCAGUAGAGGCUCUGUUUCCUCUCUGUGCUUAUGUGUGCUACUAACUGCACCUGGGGACAUAGAAAUGCAGCAGCCUUGUGACUACCAGGCCAGGAAGGAAGGAUCCCCCCAGGACCUGUAGCUGCUUGAUGAAGCUGCCUCUAACAGUUCCACCUGGGCAUCUAGAGACACUCAGGCUGCCAAAGGAUGUAUACCUAUGCAGAUAAGCAGUGGGAAAACAGAAAUGAUACCCUAGGGCAUUUCAAAUAGUAGCAGAUGCACACAUAGGCUCAGGUGUUUGACCAUGAGUCUGAACUCCAUCCUAGCGUUAGAUAAAAUUAAUUCAAACCUUUGUCAUUAUGACUAUUAGUUGGUUUCUGCAUCUUUUUGUUCAUCCACACUUGCAUUACGUUUACAAGCACAAAGGAGAUGUUCUGAUUUCCCCACAUAAAAACACCAUUAUUCUUCCCCAAGUGACUGUUAACUUCAUACGUCACACAGAAGUGGCUGUUUUUCAGAGAAGAUACCUCUAUCCUUCUUGUUUUCUGCAGCUAGUGGGAAUACCUUAGGAAGGCAAUAAUGACAAGAUGCUGGCUCAGCAUUCCAGCCAAUGGGAAGAGGAUAAUGCACAGCAUGCUCCACAUUAGCCCAUAUAUGCAUGCUAAGAGAUAAUUCACUUCCAUUACUGCAUGGCGGGUGUGUGUCCAUGGCUACAAAGUCACAAUUUGAGUGCCCACAUUAAUCGUAUAAUUCUCAUUGUACAAAUCUGUGAAGAUGUAUAAUCAAGGUUUCAUUCAUAAGGUGAAAUUCAUCCUGUAGAUAAACCUGUAAUAUAGAUCAUAUAAUUCAUGGAACCUGUUCAUACUUUCAGAACUUCAAGUAAAUGUAUUAUUUAAAAAUCUAUUAUGUGAAUAUUCUGUAAUUAACAUGUGCAAUUUGGGGAUUUGACUUUGUAUUUUUUUUUCAAUACAGAGUUCAUGUAGUGGGAAAUAUACAUGAAAAUGGAGGAAAGUUUAUUCUUUUGAAAAUAAUGUAUCUAAGAUUCAUUUCACCUAAUUUUAAAGGUAUCUAAAAGUUAAACAUCUAAGUGAGAUUUAUUUCUUUAUAUAUCUAGACAGCAAAAAAUAGAUAAAAACAAUUUUUUCUUAAAAGUGACUGUUUCUCUUGAGUGGCUUUUGAUGGACGCUAGAGCGACCAGCUCAAAUGAAUGUCCAACACUGGAGAUGCCUGAAGUUAUGUGACUGUGGUGCAACAGUGCCUGUACCACCAGCGAAGACAAACAUCUUCAGAUCCAACAUCCUCCACAUUUUGGACUUCAUUACCUUGCAAAUACCUAUGUCUGUUCAUUAGCCAUGAAAGAUCUUAGGUAUAAAGACCAGGCUUGACAGUGAGUUUUCAAACAGAGGUCAAUUCUCUUGUUUAAACAGGAAUUUCCACAGACAUUUGAAUCCUGCAGUACUAUCUGAGACAUCUGCAUGAUGCUGGCAGACAUGAUACAGGACUUGUAGGAGAUCUGUGCACACCUGGAAUGGCAGCUGGAAGUCACACAGAGGAUCACUGGACAUCUGAAAUGUCACUGGGUGCCUAUGACUAAGGAAGUGCAUUGAUCUCUGAGACAAAAGAGGUGACUCUCCUCACACGUGUAUAAUAAAUAAUAGAUAAUAAAUAAUUAAUAUUAAUAGAUGAUUAAUAGAUAAAAAUUGUCAGUAAUACUUCCCCAGGUUUUACGUUUAUGCACACUGCUGAUAUUUCAAAAUCAUGCAAUUCCAAGGUCUUUCUUAACGUUCCUUCUAGGAACUGAAACCUGAAACUCACAUACAUGUCUAUCAACAAUUUUUUUCCUCUUUACAAUACAACCCAUCAAAAUAUUUCCAGCACUACUUAUAAUUUGCUUUAUUUUUCCCGUGUUAUCCUGCAAAAAAAAUAACCUUCAUAAUGGCUAAGGCCCAGAAAAUACAUUAAGU
Molecule: long non-coding RNA, 2273 nt
Filed under: Gallus gallus (chicken)
Lineage: Eukaryota; Metazoa; Chordata; Aves; Galliformes; Phasianidae
Description: lncRNA (ENSGALG00010011535.1)
Source: RNAcentral